AGGCCAGUAGCUCAGCGGUUUAGAGCGGUCGGCUUAUACCCGACUGGUCGCAGGUUCGAAUCCUGCCUGGCCUACCA
Molecule: transfer RNA, 77 nt
Filed under: bacterium
Lineage: Bacteria
Description: tRNA-Ile
Rfam family: tRNA
About the family: Transfer RNA (tRNA) molecules are approximately 80 nucleotides in length.
Source: RNAcentral